Molecule: long non-coding RNA, 1203 nt
Filed under: Dicentrarchus labrax (European seabass)
Lineage: Eukaryota; Metazoa; Chordata; Actinopteri; Moronidae
Description: lncRNA (ENSDLAG00005032212.1)
Source: RNAcentral
GGAGAACCUGAAACUUGCACCACUAGCAACUGUUCGUGUUCCCUCUCGACUUCACUAAAAUCUACCGCUAUAGUGCCCUUGAGCAACGCACCGACUGCAUCCGUACUGGACUGCUCCCAGUUUCCCACAGCGCAACGCGGGGCCUCCACUGGUCCGCACUGCCGCAAAAAAACAACAACAGAGAAGGCUUUAAAGUUCCUUCAACUGCACUCAAUGUGGCCUGUUUCCCACGGCUCUAUAUCAGGACAUCACACACACUUUUCUCUCUCUCUCUCUCACACACACACACACACACACACACACACACACACACACACACACACACACACACACACACACACACACACACACACACACACACACACACACACACACACACACACACAGAGAAUGGUAUUUUUAGGCCUAUGAAUUGAAGCUAUAAAUCAGAUCCAGAGAAAAAAGAAGCAAUGAGUGAAUCCAGACAGCAAGUUGAGAUGUUUCUCUCUCCACACACACACACACACACACACACACACUCACACUCUAAGGGGGCAGACUUUACCAGAAAACUUAAUUAUGAGAACAUUUUUUCUUCUAAUUCCUCAUUUCUCCAUUUGUCUCAACAAUGCCUUCAAAGCUAAAUUAUAUCAUACUAACACACUUAGAAGCUUUAUAUCAUAUAUUCUAAUUUUAUAAUAAGCUGUUAUUUUUGGGGUGUUUUCCACUUUUUGUAUCAACCUUUGUGCCAAUACUCUCCUUGUUGACGAUGAAGGAAAAAGCGUACAAACCAUGGAAUAAUGGUUCUACUACUUGAUUUCCUUGCAGACUUUUAGUUUUAAUGUCAUCUUUCAUGCUCAACUAGAUGCUGUAAAUAAACCACACACAGCCCUUAUGUGUGUUUUGUGUGUGUGUGUGUGUGUGUGUGUGUGUGUCUCGCCAGGGUACAUAAUUAGCCCAGAGGAUUCACACUGUGACAUCAAUUACAGGAGCCUGUGUGUGUGUGUGUGUGUGUGUGUGUGUGUGUGUGUGUGUGUGUGUGUGUGUGUGUGUGUGUGUGUGUGUGUGUGUGUGCGGGGGCCCUUAAGGGAUGCCAGCUCAGACAGUGAUUCUGCAGUGAAAAUGCAAAAACAAAGGGAAUUAAAAAAUCUUCAAAUGACAGAAAAUCCCGGAAGAUUAUUUUGUUUUUCUAAAAUCAGUGUAAAUGAUUCUGUCUCACUUUAA